UAAGGAAUAUUGGUCAAUGGACGCAAGUCUGAACCAGCCAUGCCGCGUGGAGGAUUAAGGCCCUCUGGGUUGUAAACUCCUUUUAUCUGGGCAGAAAUGUACUUUUUCUUGAGUACUUGACGGUACCAGAGGAAUAAGCACCGGCUAACUCCGUGCCAGCAGCCGCGGUAAUACGGAGGGUGCAAGCGUUAUCCGGAUUCACUGGGUUUAACGGGUGCGUAGGUGGGCAGGUAAGUCAGUGGUGAAAUCUCCGGGCUUAACCCGGAAACUGCCGUUGAUACGAUUUGUCUUGAAUAUUGU
RNAcentral lists this ribosomal RNA (300 nucleotides) under uncultured bacterium. RNAcentral describes it as "bacterial SSU rRNA". It matches the Rfam family "Bacterial small subunit ribosomal RNA", at positions 355 to 652 of the family's 1533-position model. The record is from RNAcentral.